RNAcentral lists this ribosomal RNA (461 nucleotides) under Staphylococcus aureus. RNAcentral's name for it is "bacterial SSU rRNA". It matches the Rfam family "Bacterial small subunit ribosomal RNA", at positions 480 to 939 of the family's 1533-position model. The record is from RNAcentral. Lineage: Bacteria; Bacillati; Bacillota; Bacilli; Caryophanales; Staphylococcaceae.
UAAUCAGAAAGCCACGGCUAACUACGUGCCAGCAGCCGCGGUAAUACGUAGGUGGCAAGCGUUAUCCGGAAUUAUUGGGCGUAAAGCGCGCGUAGGCGGUUUUUUAAGUCUGAUGUGAAAGCCCACGGCUCAACCGUGGAGGGUCAUUGGAAACUGGAAAACUUGAGUGCAGAAGAGGAAAGUGGAAUUCCAUGUGUAGCGGUGAAAUGCGCAGAGAUAUGGAGGAACACCAGUGGCGAAGGCGACUUUCUGGUCUGUAACUGACGCUGAUGUGCGAAAGCGUGGGGAUCAAACAGGAUUAGAUACCCUGGUAGUCCACGCCGUAAACGAUGAGUGCUAAGUGUUAGGGGGUUUCCGCCCCUUAGUGCUGCAGCUAACGCAUUAAGCACUCCGCCUGGGGAGUACGACCGCAAGGUUGAAACUCAAAGGAAUUGACGGGGACCCGCACAAGCGGUGGAGCA